Long non-coding RNA from Amphibalanus amphitrite, 1762 nucleotides. RefSeq lists it as uncharacterized. The transcript is spliced from 3 exons. NCBI's taxonomy places the organism in Eukaryota, Metazoa, Arthropoda, Thecostraca, Balanomorpha, Balanidae. The record is from RefSeq and is a predicted model, not a curated record.
UGGCUAAGCGACGUUUUAUUUGCUGACAGAGAACACUUUUUAGUUUCAACAUGUUUUCUGACUUGGUUUUUGUUGAUAUUGGUUUAUGUUGAUGGGAAACGGAUAGGUAAUUUUAAAACCUGUUUUUUCAUCGUGGGAGAUUAUCAGUGACCGGUUGGGUGAUUUUGUGUUUUAGCUUCUUAUCUGUGAUAUUCAAAUAGCUGGGAAUGACUCAAGUUGGCCUCUAGAGCAGUGAGGUCUGAGACAAAAAGAACCAUGAAAAAAUGUAUCAAGCAAGGCUAUGUAAAUUACUGCCCGCCAGCGGACGGAGGCCAACCGACGGACGCCGGCUCAAAGGCCAACAGUGGCCCGCCCGCCGGCCGACACCGGCCCGCCGGCUGACGGUGGCUCGUCGACCGACACCGGCCCGUCGGCCGACUACGGCCCUCCGGCUGAUGGUGGCCCGCCAGCCGACGGAGGUCCGCCGGCCAUUCGUGGCACGCCCGCCGACGGCAGCUCGACUACACGUCCUGGCUAUGUCACCCCCAAGAUUACUUCGCCCCCCCCCCCCCCCCAAGUCCCUAGGUCACCAUUUGCGGGCGCUUCAUCUGACGGUGUCGUCCGACGGCUCCACGGUGACCAGCGCCGCCACUGCGGAAACCAUCGGACCCCGAAAAUGCUGCUAGCCGUACACGAACAAAGGCGCCAGGCACCCAGGACCAGCGCCCUGCUCCGAGGCGGUAUCUAAAGAAGGCCGCAUAGUGCACUUGCUGUGCUAAGGCAUAGUGCGCGCUGACUGAUAGGAACAAAUGACGGUCAGUUAUCAGAUCUCAGUAUGGAACUCAAGAUGGUCGGAGCCGACCUGGCCCGGUGGAUGGUGUGCCAGGGUUGAUUAAGUGUCGAAAGGAGUGAGACGCCCAGAUAUGUGAAGGAUACGUCGAUACGAGCCCCGGCUUCGACUCCCCGUCCCAAAACGAUGUUGGCGGUGAUUGGAGUUUGGUAUCUUUACGGAUUUCCCCCCUCCCCACCCCUGAAUUUGUGCUAUGUAAUAGGACGAUAAUAUGUCGUGGUCUCAUUCUGGCUCGAUAUGGUAAUAGGUACUUAAUUGGACAGAUGUUGAUGGUAUUGGUGGUGGAUGUAAAUGACAGGUUUGGCGAGCGCGAACUAGUAAUCGUGAGUGCACUAGCUGCAAUCAGUCGCGCGCUUAUUGCUGAGCACCUGUGAGCAAGAAAAUGGUAUGAAAGUGGUAGUUCGUCGUGAAAUCUGUGUACUUUUGGAUUAAGUUUUCAGAACGGAAGUGUAUUUUUGCCGUGUCCACUGCAGCUCUGGAACAGAAACAUAGAGAUCGGCUGUGUGCUGUAGCAGGGGCAAGUAGUCCGUGCCAAAAAAUUAAAGGUGAUAUGUGAAUUUAAGUGAAUAUACCUCGCUUUAUUUUCAAUUUUAUUAUAACAGAACAAAUGCGUCGACUGCUGAUUACCCUCGGCUCCUAACAAUAACGUUUGCAAUACUGGAAAGUACAUAGACAAUAGAUACCCUUGCGACCGACUGGCGCGAUCCGAGAAUCUCUCUCACUGUUUUUGCUGACCUACACACGAAAACACGGCCGAAUAGCUAUGAGCGAGAGCACGGAACGAUGCUGGUGACUGACGGACCAGCGAAAACAGAGCUCCCGUCUACGCGCGGAACAGCGCUGAUUGGCGCGGCUCACAGACUCCAUUGGCUCAUCAGAGUUCAGACUGUUAACGGUUGUUGCUCCUCCCUCCCCUCCCCGAGAGGGCGUAGC